AACUCGAGCAACGAAGGGUCAGUCAGCCAUAGUUCCAAGAGUACACGUGGGUGGAAGUGAAAGGUCGUGAAAAUAGAUGCAUUAUUCAAUGCCUAUGGGAUAAACACGAGAUUGAAAAAGGCUCGUCCCGCUCUCUCACUCGGCCAACAUCUCCGCCUCGCCGGAGGCUUCCUCGGCGGCGGUUUCCAGAAAUCAGCGACACUACCAUCAACUUAUUCGUCUCGAGAUCCUCUAACCGAAUACACAAAAUAAAGUUCCUAAUUCCCCAAGAAUCUCCCGAAUCGAAGGGAGAACCCUAAAUCCUAAUUCCUAUAUUAAAUGACAAUCGAACCCCAUCUCGAUCCAAAAUCAAAGGGUUAAUCGCCCUCGACCUCUCAACAAUCUUUUGAUAACGUAAAUUAGUGAAUAAAGGGAUGAAAUCAAGAAGACCUACCGGUGUUGAAAUCUCAGGGAUAGUAAUUGGAUAUGUUUCAAGGCAGUUUGUACUGCCGGCUUGGAAACGCAAGGAGAUCUGUGGUUUUAAUGCGGCCGUGCAAGCUUCAUGUGCGGCUCCUUCAUUUGUGGCAUAUAUGAAUGAUCACUGGUUGAGGCCAUGACUGAUUAGCAGUACUGCCAUCAAUUUGUAAUCACAUUAACAAAACCUUACGCCGUGCAUUUCUCUCAACAACGCCCUAUGGUAAAGCGCGGUAAUCACCUGGUUAUGUUAGUUAAUUAGAAAUUCUACUUAAGCUUCAUUUGGAUUUUACUACCAAUGCAGUUUGUUAAAAAUAAGUUGACUGUCAAUGAAAGGACUCGUCAUGGAACGUGAGUAUUGGGAGCUGUUACGUGUGCAUUGCAGGCCUGUACUAUGAACCGUCGUUGGCCUUGACUUAGAAUGUGUACGGUGUACUGGCUAUUGCAGAACUGGUUUUAUCGGCUUUGCAGGUUCACCGUAUUUCUGUGUUUCCGGCUGCAACAGAGUCGCGCUUCGGUUGCAGUUUUGCAGUUUGAACAUGCCGUCGUCGUUCCACAUGCUGCCGGUUUUCGUAUACAUCCUGCUGUUGUUUGUGGCCGGCUACUACGGUUUUGUUUGCGGCGGGGUUGGCUUCAUGAGCAAGAUGAAGUCGGCGCGUUGGUGAUGAAUUGUUGGAUUACUUGGUGGAUGGUUUAUUUUAAAAUGUGCAGAGCGAAAUUGUUUAUGAACCAAUGAAUUGGAAAUAAUUGUUUAUUGUUUUUAACGGUGUUUUGAUGUUAAGCUAUUACUCAAACGGAUCAUUAAUGCAGGUUUGAUUCCGUCGGUUUUGCAGGUUUUUGGUUGUGCACUUUAUGGAUUAAUUUGUUGGGGAUGAGUGAACCGUUAAUUUACCCAAGUCUUUCUGCAGAACUCUUACCGCCGUGUCACACGUUUGUCAUUUUCUUGGUAUCUUACCUGUUUUCUUCAAAUUCUGCAGGUGAAUGCCCAAGUUGGAUGUUGCUUUUGUUGCCGACAUGAACGAAAGAGUGCAGGAUACACGGUGUCGGCAUGUUACAAAAUAUGGCUUUUCUCUCCAUGAAUUCUUUGUAAUUUUGUCUUUCUCUCCAUGAAUUUUCAUAAGAAAGCUGUCACAACAAGUCAAUUAAAGGGUUUCUUCCUAUUGCUAAAAACAGGCUGCUGAAUGCGAUUCAAAAUGCCAGCGUAAUGAAAUGUGAUUCUAAUGCAGUGUCAAGAGAAUGAUGUUGAGUUAAUUUUGCGCAUGUUAGAACAAGGUAUGGUCCAAUAGAACUGACUCCAUAGAAGUUAUAUCUGACCCUGCUGUGUCUGCCAUGUUGCAGGUACAAACGAACGAACCUGGUAGUAGUUUACAUCCAAAGAGAUGCCGUGAGUCCUGGUAGCAAAAGGAUUAAUUGAUCCCUGGCGCUUAGUGGUUGAAACGGAACCGAAGUGGGCUUGGUGAUUGUUUUCCUGUUAUUACUUGACUUGGGUGUGCACCAUUAGAUUUAUCAAGUGAAGGUUGUGAAUGGUACAGUAUCGAUCAUAUUGGAUUGAAAUGUCAAAGCCAAAACUCAAUGGCGGUUGGAAGGCGGCUGGUUACACGGUUUUGUAGCGGUCACGGCAGGACAGGUUGCACCUUUUUCGGAGAUGUCUUGGAACGGGAGUUUGGAAUUGUACAGAUUUAAAGUACUUGGUGGCUCCUGAGCAUACCUGUUAACUCUAGAUUAUUUAGAGUUUGCACUUGAUUUGUUCAUAGGUAAAUUGGGUUGUAACGGAAUGAUAAACCAAAAUCGUAACCGAUUUAAAAGGUAGAAAUCAGUACUUAAGAGGGAAGUUGAACAA
Lathyrus oleraceus (garden pea) is the source of this 2293-nucleotide long non-coding RNA. RefSeq lists it as uncharacterized. NCBI's taxonomy places the organism in Eukaryota, Viridiplantae, Streptophyta, Magnoliopsida, Fabales, Fabaceae. The record is from RefSeq and is a predicted model, not a curated record. The transcript has 4 exons.